CUGGAGCUCCCUGUAUGCCUGAGCCCUUCUAAAGACAACUGUCCAUCUCUGCCCAGUGAGUUAGCAGUGGUUCUUCUGGCUGCACGGAGGCUGGCAUGGUUUCCACUAAGGCAGCUUCUCUUUAAUGGAGAACACACCAUCACGCACAGGAAAAUAUCAGCUUCCUUCUGAAAAGGCCAUCUGUACCAGCAGCACUGCUUGGACCCAUCAGGGAUGCUGCAUAGUUUUCCCUGGGCAGCAAAUACACAGCCUUCCCCAUGAAAGAGGAAAAAAAAGAUUGCAGAUGUGGAUAGGAGGGAGACUGUUUAUGUAAGAGCACGUGGAUUAAUUGCAGCAGGUCUUGGUUUUAAACAAUAUUUAGUCUCGGGCACUUUGCUCUCCCCAUUCCCAUGCCUGCUGCCAGUUGGGGUGGGGGAGAUGUGGGGCUUUGGUGGGUGAAACGCCUGAGAUUUCCUCUAUUUUAUCUCCUGACACCUGCGAACAAUAUUUACCCUUUCCCAUUAGCUAUUACUGUCCUGCAAAAUGAUGCAAUUAAAAGCUUUGAUCUACAAAUGGAUUAAAAUCUGCCUCCAGAAAGCUGA
Molecule: long non-coding RNA, 581 nt
Organism: Phasianus colchicus (ring-necked pheasant)
Lineage: Eukaryota; Metazoa; Chordata; Aves; Galliformes; Phasianidae
Source: RefSeq, a predicted model, not a curated record